AUUGAACGCUAGCGGGAUGCCUUACACAUGCAAGUCGAACGGCAGCGCGGACUUCGGUCUGGCGGCGAGUGGCGAACGGGUGAGUAAUGUAUCGGAACGUGCCCAGUAGCGGGGGAUAACUACUCGAAAGAGUAGCUAAUACCGCAUACGCCCUACGGGGAAAGGGGGGGAUCGCAAGACCUCUCACUAUUGGAGCGGCCGAUAUCGGAUUAGCUAGUUGGUGAGGUAAAGGCUCACCAAGGCGACGAUCCGUAGCUGGUUUGAGAGGACGACCAGCCACACUGGGACUGGGACACGGCCCAGAAUCCUACGGGAGGCAGCAGUGGGGAAUUUUGGACAAUGGGGGAAACCCUGAUCCAGCCAUGCCGCGUGUGCGAUGAAGGCCUUCGGGUUGUAAAGCACUUUUGGCAGGAAAGAAAUCGCAUCAAUUAAUACUUGGUGUGGAUGACGGUACCUGCAGAAUAAGCACCGGCUAACUACGUGCCAGCAGCCGCCGUAA
Molecule: ribosomal RNA, 499 nt
Filed under: uncultured bacterium
Lineage: Bacteria
Description: partial 16S ribosomal RNA
Rfam family: Bacterial small subunit ribosomal RNA
Source: RNAcentral